UACGGAGGAAGCUAGCGUUAUUCGGAAUUAUUGGGCGUAAAGGGCGCGUAGGCGGCCGGGCAAGUGGAAGGUGAAAUCCCUGGGCUUAACCGAGGAACUGCCCUCCAAACUGCUUGGCUUGAGUCCGGGAGAGGUGAGUGGAAUUCCCAGUGUAGCGGUGAAAUGCGUAGAUAUUGGGAGGAACACCAGUGGCGAAGGCGGCUCACUGGACCGGAACUGACGCUGAGGCGCGAAAGCGUGGGGAGCAAACGGG
RNAcentral lists this ribosomal RNA (253 nucleotides) under uncultured bacterium. RNAcentral's name for it is "partial 16S ribosomal RNA". It matches the Rfam family "Bacterial small subunit ribosomal RNA", at positions 524 to 776 of the family's 1533-position model. The record is from RNAcentral.